GAUGAACGCUGACAGAAUGCUUAACACAUGCAAGUCAACUUGAACUUCGGUUUGGGUGACGGCCGGGUGAGUAACGCGUAAAGAACUUGCCUCACAGCUAGGGACAACAUUUGGAAACGAAUGCUAAUACCUGAUAUUAUGAUUUUAGGGCAUCCUAGAAUUAUGAAAGCUAUAUGCGCUGUGAGAGAGCUUUGCGUCCCAUUAGCUAGUUGGAGAGGUAACGGCUCACCAAGGCGAUGAUGGGUAGCCGGCCUGAGAGGGUGAACGGCCACAAGGGGACUGAGACACGGCCCUUACUCCUACGGGAGGCAGCAGUGGGGAAUAUUGGACAAUGGACCAAGAGUCUGAUCCAGCAAUUCUGUGUGCACGAUGAAGUUUUUCGGAAUGUAAAGUGCUUUCAGUUGGGAAGAAAAAAAUGACGGUACCAACAGAAGAAGUGACGGCUAAAUACGUG
RNAcentral lists this ribosomal RNA (454 nucleotides) under uncultured bacterium. RNAcentral's name for it is "partial 16S ribosomal RNA". It matches the Rfam family "Bacterial small subunit ribosomal RNA", at positions 28 to 507 of the family's 1533-position model. The record is from RNAcentral.